AUAUCAGUAAGCGGAGGAAAAGAAACUAACAAGGAUUCCCCUAGUAACUGCGAGUGAAGCGGGAAGAGCUCAACUUUAGAAUCUGGGAGGGUCACCUCUCCGAGUUGUAGUCUAAAGAGGCAAUACCUUUGACAGCAGUGGCAUAAAUCUCUUGGAACAGAGUAUCAUAGAGGGUGAGAAUCCCGUCCAUGGCUGCUUGUUCUGUCUUUUGAUGGUAUGCUUUCUGAGAGUCGGGUUGUUUGGGAAUGCAGCCCAAAUUGGGUGGUAAGUUUCAUCUAAGGCUAAAUAUUGGCGAGAGACCGAUAGCGCACAAGUA
Molecule: ribosomal RNA, 316 nt
Filed under: uncultured eukaryote
Lineage: Eukaryota
Description: partial large subunit ribosomal RNA
Rfam family: Eukaryotic large subunit ribosomal RNA
Source: RNAcentral